This 253-nucleotide ribosomal RNA is filed under the name uncultured bacterium. RNAcentral describes it as "partial 16S ribosomal RNA". It matches the Rfam family "Bacterial small subunit ribosomal RNA", at positions 524 to 776 of the family's 1533-position model. The record is from RNAcentral.
UACGAAGGUGCCCAGCGUUGUUCGGAAUCACUGGGCGUAAAGCGCACGCAGGCGGGUCGAUAAGUCGGCGGUGAAAGCCCGGGGCUCAACCUCGGAAUUGCCUUCGAUACUGUCGGUCUCGAGUCCGGGAGAGGUGAGUGGAAUUCCUAGUGUAGAGGUGAAAUUCGUAGAUAUUAGGAAGAACACCAGUGGCGAAGGCGGCUCACUGGCCCGGUACUGACGCUCAGGUGCGAAAGCGUGGGGAGCAAACAGG